UGGGGAAUCUUGGACAAUGGGCGCAAGCCUGAUCCAGCCAUGCCGCGUGGAUGAUGAAGGCCUUAGGGUUGUAAAAUCCUUUCGUGGGGGACGAUAAUGACGGUACCCCAAGAAGAAGCUCCGGCUAACUACGUGCCAGCAGCCGCGGUAAUACGUAGGGUGCAAGCGUUAAUCGGAAUUACUGGGCGUAAAGCGUGCGCAGGCGGUCUUGCAAGACAGAUGUGAAAUCCCCGGGCUUAACCUGGGAACUGCAUUUGUGACUGCAAGGCUGGAGUACGGCAGAGGGGGAUGGAAUUCCGCGUGUAGCAGUGAAAUGCGUAGAUAUGCGGAGGAACACCGAUGGCGAAGGCAAUCCCCUGGGCCUGUACUGACGCUCAUGCACGAAAGCGUGGGGAGCAAACAGGAUUAGAUACCCCCGUAGUCCCUGAGCGGGCUGGCAAGGCGCAU
RNAcentral lists this ribosomal RNA (447 nucleotides) under uncultured bacterium. RNAcentral's name for it is "bacterial SSU rRNA". It matches the Rfam family "Bacterial small subunit ribosomal RNA", at positions 355 to 825 of the family's 1533-position model. The record is from RNAcentral.